GACGAACGCUUGCGGCGUGCUUAACACAUGCAAGUCGAACGGAAAGGCCCUGCUUUUGUGGGGUGCUCGAGUGGCGAACGGGUGAGUAACACGUGAGUAACCUGCCCUUGACUUUGGGAUAACUUCAGGAAACUGGGGCUAAUACCGGAUAGGAGCUCCUGCUGCAUGGUGGGGGUUGGAAAGUUUCGGCGGUUGGGGAUGGACUCGCGGCUUAUCAGCUUGUUGGUGGGGUAGUGGCUUACCAAGGCUUUGACGGGUAGCCGGCCUGAGAGGGUGACCGGCCACAUUGGGACUGAGAUACGGCCCAGACUCCUACGGGAGGCAGCAGUGGGGAAUAUUGCACAAUGGGCGGAAGCCUGAUGCAGCAACGCCGCGUGCGGGAUGACGGCCUUCGGGUUGUAAACCGCUUUCGCCUGUGACGAAGCGUGAGUGACGGUAAUGGGUAAAGAAGCACCGGCUAACUACGUGCCAGCAGCCGCGGUGAUACGUAGGGUGCGAGCGUUGUCCGGAUUUAUUGGGCGUAAAGGGCUCGUAGGUGGUUGAUCGCGUCGGAAGUGUAAUCUUGGGGCUUAACCCCUGAGCGUGCUUUCGAUACGGGUUGACUUGAGGAAGGUAGGGGAGAAUGGAAUUCCUGGUGGAGCGGUGGAAUGCGCAGAUAUCAGGAGGAACACCAGUGGCGAAGGCGGUUCUCUGGGCCUUUCCUGACGCUGAGGAGCGAAAGCGUGGGGAGCGAACAGGCUUAGAUACCCUGGUAGUCCACGCUGUAAACGGUGGGUACUAGGUGUGGGGUCCAUUCCACGGGUUCCGUGCCGUAGCUAACGCUUUAAGUACCCCGCCUGGGGAGUACGGCCGCAAGGCUAAAGCUCAAAGGAAUUGACGGGGCCCCGCACAAGCGGCGGAGCAUGCGGAUUAAUUCGAUGCAACGCGUAGAACCUUACCUGGGUUUGACAUGGAUCGGGAGUGCUCAGAGAUGGGUGUGCCUCUUUUGGGGUCGGUUCACAGGUGGUGCAUGCCUGUCGUCAGCUCGUGUCGUGAGAUGUUGGGUUAAGUCCCGCAACGAGCGCAACCCUUGUUCACUGUUGCCAGCACGUUAUGGUGGGGACUCAGUGGAGACCGCCGGGGUCAACUCGGAGGAAGGUGGGGAUGACGUCAAGUCAUCAUGCCCCUUACGUCCAGGGCUUCACGCAUGCUACAAUGGCUGGUACAGAGAGUGGCGAGCCUGUGAGGGUGAGCGAAUCUCGGAAAGCCGGUCUCAGUUCGGAUUGGGGUCUGCAACUCGACCUCAUGAAGUCGGAGUCGCUAGUAAUCGCAGAUCAGCAACGCUGCGGUGAAUACGUUCCCGGG
Molecule: ribosomal RNA, 1344 nt
Filed under: uncultured bacterium
Lineage: Bacteria
Description: 16S ribosomal RNA
Rfam family: Bacterial small subunit ribosomal RNA
Source: RNAcentral